UCCUACGGGAGGCAGCAGUAGGGAAUCUUCCGCAAUGGACGAAAGUCUGACGGAGCAACGCCGCGUGAGUGAUGAAGGCUUUCGGGUCGUAAAACUCUGUUGUUAGGGAAGAACAAGUGCUAGUUGAAUAAGCUGGCACCUUGACGGUACCUAACCAGAAAGCCACGGCUAACUACGUGCCAGCAGCCGCGGUAAUACGUAGGUGGCAAGCGUUAUCCGGAAUUAUUGGGCGUAAAGCGCGCGCAGGUGGUUUCUUAAGUCUGAUGUGAAAGCCCACGGCUCAACCGUGGAGGGUCAUUGGAAACUGGGAGACUUGAGUGCAGAAGAGGAAAGUGGAAUUCCAUGUGUAGCGGUGAAAUGCGUAGAGAUAUGGAGGAACACCAGUGGCGAAGGCGACUUUCUGGUCUGUAACUGACACUGAGGCGCGAAAGCGUGGGGAGCAAACAGGAUUAGAUACCCUGGUAGUCCACGCCGUAAACGAUGAGUGCUAAGUGUUAGAGGGUCUCCGCCCCUUAGUGCUGAAGUUAACGCAUUAAGCACUCCGCCUGGGGAGUACGGCCGCAAGGCUGAAACUCAAAGGAAUUGACGGA
Molecule: ribosomal RNA, 590 nt
Filed under: uncultured bacterium
Lineage: Bacteria
Description: bacterial SSU rRNA
Rfam family: Bacterial small subunit ribosomal RNA
Source: RNAcentral